RNAcentral lists this ribosomal RNA (495 nucleotides) under uncultured bacterium. RNAcentral's name for it is "bacterial SSU rRNA". It matches the Rfam family "Bacterial small subunit ribosomal RNA", at positions 21 to 507 of the family's 1533-position model. The record is from RNAcentral.
GGCUCAGGAUGAACGCUAGCGGCAGGCUUAACACAUGCAAGUCGAGGGCAGCAUGAGGGUUAGCAAUAACCCUUGAUGGCGACCGGCGCAAGGGUGCGUAACGCGUGAGCAACUUGCCCGUUUCAGGGGGAUAACCGGUGGAAACGCCGACUAAUACCCCAUAGCAUUGAUUUAAGGCAUCUUUUAUCAAUUAAAGAAUUUCGGAAACGGAUAGGCUCGCGUGACAUUAGCUUGAUGGUGAGGUAACGGCCCACCAAGGCGACGAUCAGUAGCCGGACUGAGAGGUUGAACGGCCACAUUGGGACUGAGAUACGGCCCAGACUCCUACGGGAGGCAGCAGUGAGGAAUAUUGGUCAAUGGUCGGAAGACUGAACCAGCCAAGUAGCGUGAAGGAUGACUGCCCUACGGGUUGUAAACUUCUUUUGUUUGGGAAUAAAAGACGCUACGUGUAGCGUUCUGCAUGUACCUUACGAAUAAGCAUCGGCUAAUUCCGUG